CCAAAGAGAGUAAUACAUAUUAGAGUAAGCUCAACAUGAUAAAGGCAAAGAUAUUUUUUAUGCUAACACUUAACCAGUUCCACAAAGCUUUGUUAUCUAUUUGAGCUCCACAGAAUUUAAGGAUCAAGAAAAACUAGCAGACGGGGGAACAUUCUAAUCGCUGUCAGGGUACUGCCGACAUUCAAAUACACCUCCGCCACCUGCUAGCUACAUCAGAAGAAAUUACGUUAAAAUCCAACUUGCGGGAGAGCACCCCCAUUUAUCCAGCUAAGUGUUUCUACUCGUGUUGAUACUUUACUCAAAUAAUAAAAAGAUGCAUAAUCAUAAAAACCCAAAUAAAGAUUUUGUGCUUGUAUAUAUAUAUAUAUUUGCUUAGUUUGCUAAAUAAAUAAAUAAAUAAAAUUUGCUAUGAACCCUCAUGAUAAGCUCUCACAUGGAAAUAAUGAAUAGUUGCUCCGCCAUGACUAGUUUUCGAAAUUAAAUUCUCUCUCAAGUUUAGGCAUGACUGUUAUGAAUUAAGAUUUGCUCCUAAACCUGAACUUGUGGGAAGAGUACUUUAUCUAAAGUCUAAGUCGUUAACGGAUAUGAUAUGGGAAGGUUGAGCUACUGUUUAUCUGUUCCUAGAGAUGCUAGAAUUCUGGUGAAUUUUAUCUUUGAAAAUAUUUAAAAUAUUGCAUGAUGAGUUCCUGUAUGAUGAGAGCUUAAAAUCCUACCACAGCCAUAUAUACAUGCUUAUUAGACUAUGAACCAUACAUUUACUUUUUACUACUUAUGAGCAUUGAGUGCGGUCAAGCUGUGUAGACCCUUAGGAGCUUGUCAUGUAGUUAAAUCAAGAUUCACUUGCACGUUCACUCAUACAUGCUGCUUCUACUCCGGAAGUACGCAUCCAUAUACAUCCAUUCAUUUCCAUCUCCAGAUUCACCCAAAAUUAUUCUACUCCUAUCCAGGAGAGAAUAGCCAAAAACAUUAUCCUAUCCCUAUUAUUCCCCGUGAAAUAAAUGCUCUUGAUAUUUUGGUUACUACCACUUGCUACAUUAUUCUAGGAGGGUGAGUGCUCUGAAAAAAAGAGAGUGAAUACGAGGAAAUAAAAAGGGGCAAGUGCCCGAAACCUCGAAGAAAAGAAAAAGUGAAACGAAGGUAAAAAUGGACAAGUGUCCGACAGUAGAAUUAGGGGUACAAGAUACCCACCUAAGAGAAAAGAAAAAAAAGAAAAUAUAGAGAAUCUCAUUCCCUUCAAAAAGCUUCAAAGUGCAAGAAACGUAUGUAGCCCCUCAAAAGAGCAAAAGUAGAAUUAGACUUUCACCAAUGUUUUCACCAUUAUGACCAUCAUCACCAUACACCAUUUAUUCGCCACACCUGCAUAUCUUAAUUUGAUUUAUUGACUUGUUUCUCUAGAUCCAUGGUUUGACUAUGCAAUAAAUGUCUUGUAACUAUGUAUUAGCUGUCUCCCACCUAAGAGCUCCAGAUAUCAAAACCUUAUUAGAGUAGGGUGAGAGAGAAGGCAAUAUCACUAUGCCUCAUACCACAAAUACUACAUACUUUGAGAGAAGGCGUAUAUCAUCACUGCCUUGGUAAGGAUCUAGAAAUACCACAAAAGAGAGUCAUACAAGGAAUCUCUGAGUUUUAUUUGAAAAUCUGCAAAAAACUCCAGAACUAUAGCUGAUCAAGAACAAGAGACAUGGCGCUUGACUUGACCGUUCUAUCUUUUAACUGCUCAAGACAUAAGUGACGGUUGUAAGCCCAUGGUGGAAGGUAAUAUGAGUAAUUUUAAAUCUUAACAGUUUACCGUAACCCAGAGAUGAGAUUUUGUUUGAACGCAUCUGUACCUUUAAGGCAUAAAACCACUGAAGAAACUCUUGGGUCCAUCCUUGCUCAGGGACGAGCAAGAGGUAAGCUUGGGGGAGUUGUUGACGGUCCUUAAGUACUAAAUAUAAUCAUCAAAUAAAUAAAGAAAAGGAUCCAAAUGCAACCAACACCCGGACUUAGGGUUUUAUCUGACAGAAUUCCACGAGUUUUGGUGUUUGUCUAUUUCUGCAGGGGGUUAUUAGGAAAUAUGGAGGAAAGGCCCACAUGUCGGGUUUACAUAG
This 2087-nucleotide long non-coding RNA is filed under the name Sorghum bicolor (sorghum). RNAcentral's name for it is "long non-coding RNA (SBIC_LNC003255)". Lineage: Eukaryota; Viridiplantae; Streptophyta; Magnoliopsida; Poales; Poaceae. The record is from RNAcentral.